ACGAACGCUGGCGGCAUGCCUAACACAUGCAAGUCGAACGAACCCUUCGGGGUUAGUGGCGCACGGGUGCGUAACGCGUGGGAAUCUGCCCUUUGCUUCGGAAUAACUCAGGGAAACUUGUGCUAAUACCGGAUGAUGUCGAAAGACCAAAGAUUUAUCGGCAAAGGAUGAGCCCGCGUAGGAUUAGGUAGUUGGUGAGGUAAAGGCUCACCAAGCCGACGAUCCUUAGCUGGUCUGAGAGGAUGAUCAGCCACACUGGGACUGAGACACGGCCCAGACUCCUACGGGAGGCAGCAGUGGGGAAUAUUGGACAAUGGGCGAAAGCCUGAUCCAGCAAUGCCGCGUGAGUGAUGAAGGCCUUAGGGUCGUAAAGCUCUUUUACCAGGGAUGAUAAUGACAGUACCUGGAGAAUAAGCUCCGGCUAACUCCGU
Molecule: ribosomal RNA, 431 nt
Filed under: uncultured bacterium
Lineage: Bacteria
Description: bacterial SSU rRNA
Rfam family: Bacterial small subunit ribosomal RNA
Source: RNAcentral